This 354-nucleotide ribosomal RNA is filed under the name uncultured bacterium. RNAcentral describes it as "partial 16S ribosomal RNA". It matches the Rfam family "Bacterial small subunit ribosomal RNA", at positions 338 to 684 of the family's 1533-position model. The record is from RNAcentral.
CCUACGGGAGGCAGCAGUGGGGAAUAUUGCGCAAUGGGCGAAAGCCUGACGCAGCGACGCCGCGUGAGGGAUGAAGGUCUUCGGAUCGUGAACCUCUGUCAGCAGGGAAGAACGGUCACUGUGCUAAUCAGCAGUGAAUUGACGGUACCUGCAAAGGAAGCACCGGCUAACUCCGUGCCAGCAGCCGCGGUAAUACGGAGGGUGCGAGCGUUAAUCGGAAUUACUGGGCGUAAAGCGCUCGUCGGCGGUAUGUCAAGUCAAGGGUGAAAUCCCCGCGCUCAACGUGGGAACUGCCUUUGAACAUGGAAAACUGGGGGGUGUGGGAGGAUAGGGGAAUCCAAGGGGGAGGAGUGA